Molecule: transfer RNA, 73 nt
Filed under: Paramuricea clavata
Lineage: Eukaryota; Metazoa; Cnidaria; Anthozoa; Malacalcyonacea; Plexauridae
Rfam family: tRNA
About the family: Transfer RNA (tRNA) molecules are approximately 80 nucleotides in length. Their secondary structure includes four short double-helical elements and three loops (D, anti-codon, and T loops).
Source: Rfam by way of RNAcentral
GCCUCUGUAGCUCAGUUGGUUAGAGCACUGCACCGGAAUCGCAGGGCCGUAGGUUCAAUUCCUACCAGAGGAG